GGGGCUGAUUCUGGAUUCGACGGGAUUUGCGAAACCCAAGGUGCAUGCCGAGGGGCGGUUGGCCUCGUAAAAAGCCGCAAAAAAUAGUCGCAAACGACGAAAACUACGCUUUAGCAGCUUAAUAACCUGCUUAGAGCCCUCUCUCCCUAGCCUCCGCUCUUAGGACGGGGAUCAAGAGAGGUCAAACCCAAAAGAGAUCGCGUGGAAGCCCUGCCUGGGGUUGAAGCGUUAAAACUUAAUCAGGCUAGUUUGUUAGUGGCGUGUCCGUCCGCAGCUGGCAAGCGAAUGUAAAGACUGACUAAGCAUGUAGUACCGAGGAUGUAGGAAUUUCGGACGCGGGUUCAACUCCCGCCAGCUCCACAA
Molecule: transfer-messenger RNA, 363 nt
Filed under: Shigella flexneri
Lineage: Bacteria; Pseudomonadati; Pseudomonadota; Gammaproteobacteria; Enterobacterales; Enterobacteriaceae
Rfam family: transfer-messenger RNA
About the family: Bacterial tmRNA, also known as 10Sa RNA or SsrA, is named for its dual tRNA and mRNA-like properties. Its role is to liberate the mRNA from a stalled ribosome.
Source: RNAcentral